Molecule: non-coding RNA, 1540 nt
Organism: Penaeus vannamei (Pacific white shrimp)
Lineage: Eukaryota; Metazoa; Arthropoda; Malacostraca; Decapoda; Penaeidae
Source: RefSeq, a predicted model, not a curated record
ACCGAGUGUAAACGACAGCCCCGUUUUCCCCCCACAGCCCGUCUUCCCCCCAACCGACGGGAAUCAAGGAGCAUUUUAUCCCUACCAUUUCUACCUGCAGCCUCCACUCUAUGAUUACGGACAGUUCUACAGAUAAAAACCCGAGUAUGACACCAAAAGAGCAAAAAAAUAAAAAAUAAAAAAUAGAAUAUGCGGCGAUCGACCUAUCACCUCUCUCCCAGACUUCAGGCGCUCCUCUCUCUCUCUCUCUCUCUCCCUCCCCGUAGAAACCCAACUAUGGCUACGCGUAUGAAGUCAACGACCCACACACGAACAACUUCCAAGGCAAACAGGAAACUAGCGACGAUGGCGUUGUUCGCGGGAGCUACCACCUCCUGCAGCCUGACGGGCGUGUUAGAGUGGUCACCUACCAUGCUGACGACGCCACAGGUUUCAAGGCCGACGUAGAGUACCUGCCCGUUGCCUCUGGUGGAACCUACUAGCAACCUUGUCGACUCUUUGGGACUGGAAUCUUGUUCGCUUCGGAGAAGUUGAGGCCUUUUUAAAGCCUCUAGAGGUGGAACCUCGUUCUCUUCCUAGAAUUUAAGUCGUAUUAACUUCCUAGAAAUGAAACCUCAUCAUCUCCUUGGAACUGAAACCUCGUCGUCUCUUUGGAACUGAAACCUUAGAAAUCCUCUCCUUAGAACUGAAACCUCAUAAACUGCCUCCUCUACUUAGAACGGAAACCUCAUUAACUCCUUAGAACUGAAACCUCAUCAUCUAAUUAGAACUGAAACCUCAUUAUCUUAUUAGAAAUGAAACCUCAUCAUCUAAUUAGAACUAAAAUCUCGUUAACUCGCUAGAAUUAAAACCUUAUCUCCCUAGAACUGAAACCUAACCAACUCAUUAGAACUGACACCUCAUUAACCCUAGAAAUCUAAUUAUCUUCUUAGAACUGAAACAUGUCACUAGUUCCUAACUGAAACCUCAUCAGCCUAGUAACCUGAAACCCCCAUAAACUCCUUAUAAUUGAAAUAAAGAGCGCGAGACUGACAACAGACACUUUUUUUGUAAUAGGAGAGAGGGCGCCCUUUCUUCGGUCACCUUAAAAUACAUACAUAUAUAUUCUAUUCUUUUUUUAAUCAACAUAGAUCGAAUUAUCGGGAAAAAAGACUAAUAUGUUUGUUGAAAGUCGAGAUAGCUAAUAUGUUUAUUGAAAAACAAAACAGCUUUUUCGAAAUUCAGGUGGUUUUCGAAAUAUUCGUCUCGUUUUUCUGUAAACAUGAUUUAAGCACGGUGUUGUUGUUUGGAACAUGAAUCGAAUUAUCAGAAAAAAAAAUGUAUAUUGAAAGGUGAGAGAGCUUUUUCGAAAUUCAAGUGUUUUUUUCGAAAUUGUUAUCUCGUACUUUUUUAUAUUAUUUAAGAACGAAGUUGUUGUCAUUUUCAGUUCUUUUAUUAAGUAUUUUUGUGUUCCAUGUACGGUCUAUGUUCAUUUCAUGCUGUUUUCAGCUAUGUGUUAAGCCUUUGUAUUUCGUAUUUAAUAAUAAAACAUGCCAAUGAA